UUACGGCCGUAGCACGUUAAAACAUCGAUCUCGUACGAUCACCGAAGUUAAGCAACGUCGAGUCUGGUCAGUACCUAGAUGGGUGACCACUUUGGAAAUAUUAGGUACUGUAA
Non-coding RNA from Acanthosepion pharaonis, 113 nucleotides. The record is from the annotation of a GenBank genome assembly. NCBI's taxonomy places the organism in Eukaryota, Metazoa, Mollusca, Cephalopoda, Sepiida, Sepiidae.